CUUUUUGAUCGUUUCCCAUGUGUUGUCAGAUAGCUCCAUAGAAUUCAGUUUCUGAGAACCAGCCAGAAGCAUGCAGUGACGUUGCACAAUCUGCCUCUGAAGCUGGAGAUACUAGCUGCAGAGCUCAGGGGAGCUGCUCCACAUCACCGACAUGAAGGGAACAGGCAUCAUGGACUGUGCGCCCAAGGCACUCCUGGCCAGGGCACUUUAUGACAACUGCCCUGACUGCUCCGACGAGCUGGCUUUCAGCAGAGGGGACAUCCUGACCAUUCUGGAGCAACACGUGCCAGAAAGCGAGGGUUGGUGGAAGUGUUUGCUCCAUGGGAGGCAAGGCCUGGCCCCUGCCAACCGCCUCCAAAUCCUCACGGAGGUCGCUGCAGACAGGCCGUGCCCCCCAUUCCUGAGAGGCCUGGAAGAAGCUCCUGCCAGCUCAGAGGAGACCUAUCAGGUGCCCACUCUACCCCGCCCUCCCACUCCAGGCCCCGUUUAUGAGCAGAUGAGGAGUUGGGCGGAGGGGCCCCAGCCCCCUACUGCCCAAGUCUAUGAAUUCCCCGACCCUCCCACCAGUGCCAGAAUCAUCUGUGAAAAGACUCUCAGCUUUCCAAAACAGGCCAUCCUCAUGCUUCCCAGACCUGUCCGGGCCUCACUGCCGACUCUGCCUUCCCAGGUGUAUGACGUGCCUACCCAGCGCCGGGGCCCCGUGGUCCUGAAGGAGCCAGAGAAGCAGCAGUUAUACGACAUACCAGCCAGCCCCAAGAAGGCAGGACUCCAUCCCCCAGCCAGCCAAGCAAGUGGGCAGGGUGUUCCCCUGAUAUCAGUGACUACCUUAAGAGGAGGCGGCUACAGCACAUUACCAAAUCCUCAGAAAUCGGAAUGGAUUUAUGACACUCCAGUGUCUCCAGGAAAGGCUAGCGUCAGAAACACGCCUCUCACCAGCUUUGCAGAAGAAUCAAGGCCCCACGCUCUCCCCAUUUGCAGCUCCACUUUCCACAAUCCUCCAAGUGGCAGAUCCAGGUCCCUCACUCCACAACUGAAUAACAAUGUGCCCAUGCAGAAAAAACUCAGCCUUCCAGAAAUUCCUUCUUAUGGCUUUCUUGUACCCAGAGGCACAUUUCCUUUGGAUGAAGAUGUCAGCUACAAGGUUCCUUCAAGCUUUCUGAUUCCCCGAGUGGAACAGCAGAACACCAAGCCCAAUAUUUAUGACAUCCCUAAAGCAAUGUCGAGUGUUUCUCAGGCUGGGAAGGAGCUGGAGAAAGCCAAGGAGGUGUCAGAGAAUUCCGUGGGCCAUAAUUCCUCAUGGUUCUCCAGACGGACAACUUCCCCAUCUCCUGAACCAGACAGAUUAUCAGGUUCCAGUUCUGACAGCAGAGCUAGCGUCGUUUCCUCGUGCUCCACCACAUCCACCGACGACUCCUCCAGCUCUUCCUCGGAGGAGUCAGCAAAGGAGCUCUCCUUGGACCUGGAUGUGGCCAAGGAGACAGUGAUGGCUCUGCAGCACAAGGUGGUCAGCUCUGUCGCUGGCCUGAUGCUCUUUGUCAGCAGGAAGUGGAGAUUCCGAGACUAUCUGGAGGCCAACAUUGAUGCAAUCCACAGGUCCACUGAUCACAUAGAAGAAUCUGUAAGAGAAUUUCUGGAUUUUGCCCGAGGAGUCCAUGGGACUGCCUGUAACCUCACUGACAGUAACCUUCAGAACAGAAUUCGGGACCAGAUGCAGACCAUCUCCAACUCCUACCGCAUCCUGCUUGAAACAAAGGAAAGCUUGGAUAAUUGCAAUUGGCCUCUGGAAGUUCUUGUGACUGACAGUGUCCAGAACAGCCCAGAUGACCUUGAGAGGUUUGUCAUGGUGGCACGGAUGCUUCCAGAAGACAUCAAGAGGUUUGCCUCCAUUGUCAUUGCCAAUGGAAGGCUCCUUUUUAAGCGGAACUGUGAAAAGGAAGAGACUGUGCAGUUGACCCCAAAUGCAGAAUUUAAGUGUGAAAAAUACAUCCAGCCUCCCCAAAGAGAAACUGAAUCACACCAAAGGAGUACCCCUUCCACUAAGCAAAGGGAAGAUGAACACUCUUCUGAACUAUUAAAGAAAAAUAGAGCAAAUAUCUGUGGACAGGUGAGUUCAGAGUUCCAAGUGAUCGAAAAAGGGGCUUCAGUUGUUACCUAGAGUAGUGGCUACUAAGAUGCUGAGACUCUUUCCAUAGUGUAUAGGCUUUGGGGAGACACUGGUUCCAUUUUCUAGAAAAUAAAAUUUAUGAAAGUAAAAUUCUUGAUGAAAUCUUAUUAACAAGUCAGAUAAAGAUAGGUCAGCAUAGGCAGAUAAGUCGGUUGAUUUGGAUUUCUUCCGAAAACUUUUGGCAUUCAAGUUUACCAUAUUAGAAUUAAAAGGGAUUUUUAAAUUUCUUAAAAAUUUAUUAUUUGAGUAGAUUUUUAAAACCUCACCACCAAGUCUCCUUGCAUUUUUGAAAGUUAUAAAUUGAGUCAUUCUCAGUGUGUUUCUUAGCAACGAAAGAGGAAGUAGAAACAUCCUUUCAAAUUGCUCAUGGUCUGAUCAGCCUCCAGACUUCAGAUACUCUUAGAAAUACUUUUCUGAGGCUGGGCGUGGUGGCUUAUGCCUGUAAUUCCAACGCUUUGGGAGGCCAACGCAGGAGGAUCCCUUGAGGCAGGAGUUUGAGACCAGGCUGGGCAACAUAGUGAGACCCCAGCUGUACAAAAUUUAUUUUUAAAUAUCCAGGUGUAGUGGCUCAUGCACUUGGGAGGCUGAGUAGGGGUAUCCCUUGAGACCAGGAGUUUGGGGUUACAGAGAGCUAUGAUGGCGCCACUGCACUCCAGCCUUGGUGACAGAGCAAGAGUUAAUCUCUAAAAAAAAGAAAAGAAAAAAAA
This 2871-nucleotide small RNA is filed under the name Pan troglodytes (chimpanzee). RNAcentral describes it as "retained intron". Lineage: Eukaryota; Metazoa; Chordata; Mammalia; Primates; Hominidae. The record is from RNAcentral.